GGCGACUAGCGGCCGGAGGCCGGGGGAAUGUGAGGUGGGAAAGGGUUACUAGGAAUUGCUGGGCGUAAAGCGUGCGGAGGUGGUGGUUGAAGUCGGUCGUGAAAGCCCUGGGCUCAACCGGGGAACUGCGAUGGAAACUGGGCGACUAGAGUGUGGUAGAGGGUAGCGGAAUUCCUGGUGUAGCAUUGAAAUGCGUAGAUAUCAGGAGGAACAUCCAUGGCGAAGGCAGCUACCUGGGCCAACACUGACACUGAGGCACGAAAGCGUGGGGAGCAAACAGGAUUAGAUACCCUGGUAGUC
This 300-nucleotide ribosomal RNA is filed under the name uncultured Sporohalobacter sp. RNAcentral's name for it is "bacterial SSU rRNA". The stretch from base 52 to 300 matches the Rfam family "Bacterial small subunit ribosomal RNA", at positions 547 to 795 of the family's 1533-position model. The record is from RNAcentral. Lineage: Bacteria; Bacillati; Bacillota; Clostridia; Halanaerobiales; Halobacteroidaceae.